This 405-nucleotide ribosomal RNA is filed under the name uncultured bacterium. RNAcentral's name for it is "bacterial SSU rRNA". It matches the Rfam family "Bacterial small subunit ribosomal RNA", at positions 355 to 775 of the family's 1533-position model. The record is from RNAcentral.
UGGGGAAUCUUGCGCAAUGGGCGAAAGCCUGACGCAGCGACGCCGCGUGUGGGAUGACGGCCUUCGGGUUGUAAACCACUGUCGGGAGGGACGAAGCUCUGACGGUACCUCCAAAGGAAGCACCGGCUAACUCUGUGCCAGCAGCCGCGGUAAUACAGAGGGUGCGAGCGUUGUCCGGAAUCACUGGGCGUAAAGGGCGCGUAGGCGGCCUGAUAAGUAGGGGGUGAAAUCCUGCGGCUUAACUGCAGGGCUGCCUCCUAGACUGUUAGGCUCGAGCACGGUAGAGGCAGAUGGAAUUCCCGGUGUAGCGGUGGGAUGCGUAGAGAUCGGGAAGAACAUCGGUGGCGAAGGCGGUCUGCUGGGCCGUUGCUGACGCUGAGGCGCGACAGCGUGGGGAGCAAACAG